This 420-nucleotide ribosomal RNA is filed under the name uncultured bacterium. RNAcentral's name for it is "bacterial SSU rRNA". It matches the Rfam family "Bacterial small subunit ribosomal RNA", at positions 1061 to 1481 of the family's 1533-position model. The record is from RNAcentral.
CGUGUCGUGAGAUGUUGGGUUAAGUCCCGCAACGAGCGCAACCCUUGACCUUAGUUGCCAGCAUUGAGUUGGGCACUCUAAGGUGACUGCCGGUGACAAACCGGAGGAAGGUGGGGAUGACGUCAAAUCAUCAUGCCCCUUAUGACCUGGGCUACACACGUGCUACAAUGGAUGGUACAAAGGGCUGCGAGACCGCGAGGUUAAGCCAAUCCCAGAAAACCAUUCCCAGUUCGGAUUGCAGGCUGCAACCCGCCUGCAUGAAGCCGGAAUCGCUAGUAAUCGCGGAUCAGCAUGCCGCGGUGAAUACGUUCCCGGGCCUUGUACACACCGCCCGUCACACCACGAGAGUUUGUAACACCCGAGGUCGGUGAGGUAACCUUUACGGAGCCAGCCGCCGAAGGUGGGACAGAUGAUUGGGGU